UCGAGAAUUUUUCACAAUGGGCGCAAGCCUGAUGGAGCGACGCCGCGUGGGGGAUGAAGGGUUUCGAUCCGUAAACCCCUGUCAUUUGCGAACAAAGGCUAUUCAAUAACACUGGGUAGCUUGAUAGUAGCGGAAGAGGAAGGGACGGCUAACUCUGUGCCAGCAGCCGCGGUAAUACAGAGGUCCCAAGCGUUGUUCGGAUUCACUGGGCGUAAAGGGUGCGUAGGUGGCUGGGAAAGUUUGAUGUGAAAGCUCGGAGCUUAACUCCGAAAUGGCAUUGAAUACUUCCCAGCUUGAGGGUCGGAGGGGAGACUGGAAUUCUCGGUGUAGCAGUGAAAUGCGUAGAUAUCGAGAGGAACACCAGUGGCGAAGGCGAGUCUCUGGACGACUCCUGACACUGAGGCACGAAAGCUAGGGGAGCAAACAGGAUUAGAUACCCCCGUAGUCC
RNAcentral lists this ribosomal RNA (448 nucleotides) under uncultured bacterium. RNAcentral's name for it is "bacterial SSU rRNA". It matches the Rfam family "Bacterial small subunit ribosomal RNA", at positions 355 to 796 of the family's 1533-position model. The record is from RNAcentral.